GGCCCCGUAGCUCAGAGGAUAGAGCAGCGGUUUCCUAAACCGUGUGUCGGAGGUUCGACUCCCCCCGGGGCCGCCA
This 76-nucleotide transfer RNA is filed under the name Bacillota bacterium. RNAcentral describes it as "tRNA-Arg". It matches the Rfam family "tRNA". From Rfam's summary of the family: Transfer RNA (tRNA) molecules are approximately 80 nucleotides in length. The record is from RNAcentral. Lineage: Bacteria; Bacillati; Bacillota.